Scylla paramamosain (green mud crab) is the source of this 301-nucleotide long non-coding RNA. RefSeq lists it as uncharacterized. The record is from RefSeq and is a predicted model, not a curated record. The transcript is spliced from 3 exons. Lineage: Eukaryota; Metazoa; Arthropoda; Malacostraca; Decapoda; Portunidae.
CAGAGUGAACACCGAUGCAUUACGUACGGCCAGCACACUGAGGGAUGGAAGAGCGGGAAAAGCUUAUCUUGGAGAGAAUGAAGAGCUGUAUCGAGUGAGCAGACAACGAGGCAGAUCACCUAAUACAAUACACUGGCAAUACAGGGUUGUGAUUAAUUUGCCCCUUGAAUGACGCCUGGUAUUCCAGCUCACAAUGCAUUAAGUUGACGUGUUGCAGAGCUACUACACAGGCCCCGCUAUUGCUUGGUUAUUGCGAGAGAAGGAAGGGAGGAAGGAAACAAGGAAGAACUGAAAAUCGAAU